ACUGAAUCCUUGAUAAGUCUCCACUUCUUCCUCUCGUCUCAAACAAAGACACAGUUGUGAAAUGGAAAGCUUAGAUGAAUAUCAGCUGUACUGGGAAACCAACCGAUAUUAUAAUGCUGAAGAACUAGGCAGCUUGUUGCUGGAUGACACAUUAUCAGCCUACUACGAUUCCAGUUCACCGGACGGAGGCCAGUCUUCAGCUGCAUCAAAAAACAUAGUCUCGGAAAGAAACAGAAGGAAGAAACUAAAUGAUAGGCUCUAUGCCCUCCGAGCUGUUGUCCCUAACAUAACUAAGAUGGACAAGGCAUCGAUUGUGAAAGAUGCAAUAAGCUAUAUUCAGGAACUGCAAGAACAAGAGAGAAGAAUCCAAGGUGAAAUAGCCCAACUGGAGUCCAUGGCUUCCAAGAAACAAGAUUUGUAUAGUGAGGACUCGAAACAAGCAGACCAGACAUCAGCAUGUAAGAAGAAGAAGAGAACUGUGCAUGAGCCACAACAGCUGUGUUCCUAUGACUCCGGGAAAUCAUCAUCAACAUCAUCCCCCAUCGAAGUCAUUGAGCUGAGGGUGUCGUAUAUCGGAGAAAAAACAAUUGUGGUGAGCCUGACAUGCACUAAAACAACGGACACAAUAAUCAAGCUCUGCCAAGUUUUUGAAACAUUGAAGCUUAAGAUUAUCACUGCCAACAUUACUUCCUUAUCUGAUACCCUCUUGAAGACACUUUUUAUCGAGUGACACAAUUGAGAAGAUUUUGACAAUCACAAGAGAGGAAAAGAGAUUACCACUUUCUGGUGUGCGAAUAUAGAAGUAGCGUAUGCUUCCAUUAGUCCUCGUGACCUUGUGUCAUAUACAUAACCGAGAUUCUCUGUUUCACGUGAUAGCGUUUAUCAAGCACAAGCUGGUCCAGGGCAGAUGAGACGGAGAAAAAUACGGUGAAGACGGAGAUCGAAACUGCUAUAGCAGCUCAUAAUCAGCCAGACAGUCCAAUGAGCUGCUAACUCAACAGCGAUACCUAUGCUAGGUGCAGUAAUAUCGAAAACUCUUGAUAGUAACUUUUGGUUUUACGUGGGUUAAAGUUAGAUAAAAAGACAAGAAUUGCGAGGACUAAAUAUUCUGCAAAGUGCAGUCUUCAUAUACCAAAAAUAGUUCUGACAAUUCUUUGAUUUUUAUCUGUUUGUGUAUGUACUCCCUCCGUCCCAAUCAAUUCUAUACAGUUUCCUUUUUGGGACGUCCCAUCAUUUCUAUACAUUCCAAAUAUAGUAACUUUUAAUAAUAUAAAACACUAUUACACCCACUUCUUUCUUCCACUAUCUCCAUUCUAUAAUAAUAUAAACACUAUUACACCCACUAUUUUCCUCCACUAUCUCAAAUCUAUCAUUAAAUAUAAAUGGGUCCCACCACUUUACACACUUUUCAUCUCACUUUACUCACUUUUUACACUUUUUCUUGAUCUCCGUGUCCAAACCAAAUGUAUACAAUCUACCGGGACGGAGGGAGUAUGGUUUUAUCUAUUUCGGCGGCUGUAUUAUUUUUAAUUAAUGUAAUAACAUGCAACUGUUUUCUUGUACUUCAAUAAUGAACGUCGUCUUCAAUUAGUA
This is an RNA transcript of Daucus carota subsp. sativus, 1593 nucleotides long. It is a transcript of the gene named transcription factor bHLH35, with no coding region annotated. The record is from RefSeq and is a predicted model, not a curated record. NCBI's taxonomy places the organism in Eukaryota, Viridiplantae, Streptophyta, Magnoliopsida, Apiales, Apiaceae. The transcript is spliced from 6 exons.